UGGCGGACGGGUGAGUAACGCGUGAGCAAUCUGCCUUACACAAAGGGAUAGCCUCGGGAAACCGGGAUUAAUACCAUAUGAUAUCUAUUAACCGCAUGGUUUAUAGAUUAAAGAAUUUCGGUGUAAGAUGAGCUCGCGUCCCAUUAAUUAGUUGGUGAGGGUAACGGCCCACCAAGAUAGCGAUGGGUAGCCGAUCUAAGAGGAUGACCGGCCACAUUGGAACUGAGACACGGUCCAAACUCCUACGGGAGGCAGCAGUGAGGAAUAUUGGUCAAUGGGCGAGAGCCUGAACCAGCCAAGUAGCGUGCAGGAUGACGGCCCUAUGGGUUGUAAACUGCUUUUAUGUGGGGAUAAAGUGCGUGACGUGUCAUGCAUUGCAGGUACCACAUGAAUAAGGACCGGCUAAUUCCGUGCCAGCAGCCGCGGUAAAAGGG
Molecule: ribosomal RNA, 434 nt
Filed under: uncultured Bacteroidales bacterium
Lineage: Bacteria; Pseudomonadati; Bacteroidota; Bacteroidia; Bacteroidales
Description: bacterial SSU rRNA
Rfam family: Bacterial small subunit ribosomal RNA
Source: RNAcentral